Molecule: transfer RNA, 70 nt
Filed under: Lasius niger
Lineage: Eukaryota; Metazoa; Arthropoda; Insecta; Hymenoptera; Formicidae
Description: tRNA-Met
Source: RNAcentral
AAAUAAGUAAGCUAAAAUAAGCUCUUAGGUUCAUACCCUAAUUAUAGAAACUAUAAUUUUCUCUUAUUUA